GGAUCCAGACUUUGAUUCUGGCUCAGGAUGAACGCUAGCUACAGGCCUAACACAUGCAAGUCGAGGGGAAACGGCAGCUUAGCUAGCUAAGCUGGACGUCGACCGGCGCACGGGUGAGUAACGCGUAUCCAACCUGCCCCACGGUGAGGGAUAACCCGCGGAAACGCGGCCUAAUACCUCAUGGUCUCCGAGCUUGACAUCAAUCUUGGAGUAAAGAUUCAUUGCCGUGGGAUGGGGAUGCGUCUGAUUAGCUUGUUGGCGGGGCAACGGCCCACCAAGGCAACGAUCAGUAGGGGUUCUGAGAGGAAAGCCCCCCACAUUGGAACUGAGACACGGUCCAAACUCCUACGGGAGGCAGCAGUGAGGAAUAUUGGUCAAUGGGCGAGAGCCUGAACCAGCCAAGUAGCGUGCAGGAAGACGGCCCUAUGGGUUGUAAACUGCUUUUAUGCGGGGAUAAAGCGGGCGACGUGUCGCCCUUUGCAGGUACCGCAUGAAUAAGGACCGGCUAAUUCCGUGCCAGCAGCCGCGGUAAUACGGAAGGUCCGGGCGUUAUCCGGAUUUAUUGGGUUUAAAGGGAGCGCAGGCCGGGUAUUAAGCGUGUUGUGAAAUGUAGGCGCCCAACGUCUGCACCGCAGCGCGAACUGGUGCCCUUGAGUACGCACGACGUUGGCGGAAUUCGCCGUGUAGCGGUGAAAUGCUUAGAUAUGGCGAAGAACUCCGAUUGCGAAGGCAGCUGACGGGAGCGCUACUGACGCUCAUGCUCGAAAGCGCGGGUAUCGAACAGGAUUAGAUACCCUGGUAGUCCGCGCGGUAAACGAUGGAUGCCCGCUAUUUGCGCAUUAGCGCAAGUGGCCAAGUGAAAACGUUAAGCAUCCCACCUGGGGAGUACGCCGGCAACGGUGCAACUCAAAUGAAUUGACGG
This 922-nucleotide ribosomal RNA is filed under the name uncultured Bacteroidota bacterium. RNAcentral's name for it is "bacterial SSU rRNA". It matches the Rfam family "Bacterial small subunit ribosomal RNA", at positions 1 to 916 of the family's 1533-position model. The record is from RNAcentral. Lineage: Bacteria; Pseudomonadati; Bacteroidota.